GGUGACGGUGGCAGUGACCGUCGCAUCCGUGCAGGGGAUCACCCAAUCACUCAACAACUAUGUGCCAUUCAAGACGAAGCUGUGAAUGAAAUCCACCUUUUAAGUCAAUAAAAUCCACCUUUUAAGUCAAUAAAAUCCACCCUUUGUUGAAAAAAAACGAAGUUGUUAGCUAUGCAAAGACCGGGUGUGUGCUUAUUGUGUUUGUAUCUACUUGAUACUUCAUUUUGAGUCAAUAAAAUUCAAAAAACUUUUGUAUACGGCGCGCCGGCCGAAGAUUCGGCCGGUCAAGCGCGACUCGUGCGAUUUAUU
RNAcentral lists this long non-coding RNA (309 nucleotides) under Triticum aestivum (bread wheat). RNAcentral's name for it is "long non-coding RNA (TAES_LNC014407)". Lineage: Eukaryota; Viridiplantae; Streptophyta; Magnoliopsida; Poales; Poaceae. The record is from RNAcentral.